ACGGACUUAUACAGUAGCAGUUGGUAAAAUAUAAUGGUAUUAAAAACAAAAUACAAUUUACUUUGUACUACCUUUUGUACUAACUUAUACAAUAACUGGUUCUACUGCUACUACCGAGUUGUUGUAAACUUCGGUAUCCUUACAUGAGAAAUAUAAACUAGAAUACAUUUGAAAAGAGAGAAAUUUUCUUGCUUGAGAUUUUUCGGUGUGU
This 211-nucleotide long non-coding RNA is filed under the name Manihot esculenta (cassava). RNAcentral describes it as "long non-coding RNA (MESC_LNC002848)". The record is from RNAcentral. Lineage: Eukaryota; Viridiplantae; Streptophyta; Magnoliopsida; Malpighiales; Euphorbiaceae.